This is a long non-coding RNA of Vombatus ursinus (common wombat), 2094 nucleotides long. RefSeq lists it as uncharacterized. NCBI's taxonomy places the organism in Eukaryota, Metazoa, Chordata, Mammalia, Diprotodontia, Vombatidae. The record is from RefSeq and is a predicted model, not a curated record. The transcript is spliced from 3 exons.
UGAGACCCAGACCACACGGCUAAUUAGAAGAUAUCAGAAGACGUGAAGAAGGACCAGAGUUUUAUGUCUUUCCUGGAAGAGCUUUAGAAGUCUGGAAGAAGCAAACUUCCUCCUCUCCCUCCCUCCUUUUUGGAUGCUAUGAAUAUAUUUCUGCUUGGAGGCAGGCGGCUGGAUUAGCUAACCUCUUCAGGUCUUUUCCAGCCCUGUGCUUUUCCACCCCAGCUCCAUGCAUCUCAGAGGGCCUGGAAGUGAGUCUGAGCAUACCUUAAUGAGAGGGCCCUCUAAGGGGUCAGACAAAGAAAGCCUGAAGAGACUGUCCUUUCUCCUUUUGGAAACUGAACUAAUGGCAGUGGCCAGGUCCCAGUUCCAGGUUGCCCUCACCACCUGUCUUCUCUGCUCCUGCUCAUGUGCUGCUGAAUGCAGUUGAAGAAAGUCAGAGAAGUAUAUCAACUAGAUCCACCACAAAUUGAUGUUAUCUAGUGUCAAUGGGACUUUACUGCUGCAGAACAAUCCUUUUAUUCAUCCAUCAUAGGCUCUCCAUCAUACUCCCUACAGCAGAUAUUCUAAGCCUUCUCUUUUCUUCUCAAACCUCUUAUAUCACCUUUUCCCUCUAAGCAAAGGAGUUUACCUCCCACUUUACUGAGAAAAUCAAGCCAAUUCACCCCGAGCUCCUUCUUCUCCCCUAUUCCAUACCUCAAAUUUCUUCCACUUAAUCACAAUUGUCCCCUCUGUUUCAGACUCUGAUGAAGGAGAGGUUCUUCUUCUUGUCAAGGCCAGUCCCUAUAUUGGUGCCCUUGACUUCACCCCCUUUCCUCUUCUCCAGGAAUUCCCCUUUUUUAUCUUCCCUACCCCACCCCCUCUAAUCUUCGGGCUGAUCUUCUAUCUCUCCUGUUAUCUGCAAACAAGCUCAGGUCUCCUCUGUCCUUAAAUGAGGGAGGGAGGGUGGCCGCAAGGGAGGCAGAUUUGGUCCCAGUCACAGGAUAUAAUCAUAGAUGAUCAGGUGUUAAUGUUUUAACAAGGUGUUAACACCCUUUAAUCCUUUUAUGAAGAAUGAACACCUCCUGAGUGAGUCAAAAUGUCCAUACUAUGGCCUGGGCUUUAAAUAGCUCAGCCCUAGAGACAGUUGGCAAUUUGGAUGAAUGGGGAAGAAUGCUGAUUUCCACCUUGGACUUUUCUCUCCUUCCCUCCCCUGAACCCCAUUGACCAUGAAGUCUACUGGGCAGAGGUAUCUUAUCUGGCACUUAUCUAGCACCAAAAAGAGAUACCUUAUCUAAUACUUAAAGUCAGUUUGAGAAAGCUUGAGGUGCAGUUGAAGAAGCAGAGACACAUAUCUCAGACAGACAUGGAUACAGAGAGGCAAGUCACCCAAGGCCAGAAGCAGCUUGAGUGAGAAGUGAGACCUUGGCAAUCAUGAGGUGAACUGCAGAGAGGACUCCAUGAAGAGUGGAGAGAGAAAUGAUUUCGAAGCCUGACUUAUCAGAGUUUUGGGCCACACGUACCUCACUACCAUUGUACUCCAGGUUUGUACCCACUCUUCCCAAAUACAUUGUGGAGAGUAAGGCCUAGGCAUGUAGAGGAAAUACUUGGAGCUUCUGUUGUUACUGUGCUAUCUUGGUAAAUACCCUUGCUAUGAGCUAGUUGUGUCUACUGGCUAAUUGCUAAGAGGAUACACAUUAGGCGGGGGUCUUGAGCUAUGGAAGGAAGAGUCUAGACCUACAGGAAAACUGUGGAGCUUGUGGAAGCAUCAGUCACCUUCUGGGGAAUGAGAGUUUAGGCUGGGGAAGUAUCCCAGAGGGGUGUUUCACUUACAAAAACCUUCACUUGAUUCUGCUAUUGUCUCAAACUUAUCUGUUUUGGCAAAGUCCUAGAAUGAGUUGUACACACUGGUUGUCUCCAUUUCUUCACUCCCCUCUUGUUUCUCUAUCCCUCUAAAUCUGGCUUCCCACCCUAAGAAUUUGAUUAAGGUUGCCAACUAGCUCUUAACAUCUAAACCCAAUGGCCUUUUUGUCAGUCCUUAUCAUCUCACCUUAACAACUUUGGAUGUUAUUGAUUGCCUCCUUGUCUUCCAUGACUUUGUUGUUGCUGUUCAGUCAC